GGUGAGGUGUCCGAGUGGCUGAAGGAGCACGCACACCGGAAAGUGUGUGUAUACGGCAACGUAUCGGGGGUUCGAAUCCCCCCCUCACCGCCA
This 93-nucleotide transfer RNA is filed under the name Enterobacter sp. EA-1. RNAcentral's name for it is "tRNA-OTHER". It matches the Rfam family "tRNA". Rfam says of the family: Transfer RNA (tRNA) molecules are approximately 80 nucleotides in length. Their secondary structure includes four short double-helical elements and three loops (D, anti-codon, and T loops). Further hydrogen bonds mediate the characteristic L-shaped molecular structure. tRNAs have two regions of fundamental functional importance: the anti-codon, which is responsible for specific mRNA codon recognition, and the 3' end, to which the tRNAs corresponding amino acid is attached (by aminoacyl-tRNA synthetases). tRNAs cope with the degeneracy of the genetic code in two manners: having more than one tRNA (with a specific anti-codon) for a particular amino acid; and 'wobble' base-pairing, i.e. permitting non-standard base-pairing at the 3rd anti-codon position. Lineage: Bacteria; Pseudomonadati; Pseudomonadota; Gammaproteobacteria; Enterobacterales; Enterobacteriaceae. The record is from RNAcentral.